AGCAGCCGCGGUAAUUCCAGCUCCAAUAGCGUAUAUUAAAGUUGUUGCAGUUAAAAAGCUCGUAGUUGAACUUCGGGGUUUACUCAUUGGUCAGGCUUAAUUGUCUGUACUGGUGAGAUGAAUCUCUACCUUCUGAGGAACUUUCAUGUCAUUUAUUUGGUGUGAUUGGAAAUCAGGACUGUUACUUUGAAAAAUUAGAGUGUUUAAAGCAGGCUAACGUCUGAAUACAUUAGCAUGGAAUAAUGAAAUAGGACGGACUGAUUCUAUUUCGUUGGUUUCUAGGAUCACCGUAAUGAUUAAUAGGGAUAGUUGGGGGCAUUAGUAUUCAAUUGUCAGAGGUGAAAUUCUUGGAUUUAUUGAAGACUAACUACUGCGAAAGCAUUUGCCAAGGAUGUUUUCAUUAAUCAAGAACGAAAGUUAGGGGAUCGAAGACGAUCAGAUACCGUCGUAGUCUUAACCAUAAACUAUGCCGACU
This 475-nucleotide ribosomal RNA is filed under the name uncultured Diversispora. RNAcentral describes it as "SSU rRNA". It matches the Rfam family "Eukaryotic small subunit ribosomal RNA", at positions 569 to 1047 of the family's 1831-position model. The record is from RNAcentral. Lineage: Eukaryota; Fungi; Glomeromycota; Glomeromycetes; Diversisporales; Diversisporaceae.